Molecule: ribosomal RNA, 507 nt
Filed under: uncultured bacterium
Lineage: Bacteria
Description: partial 16S ribosomal RNA
Rfam family: Bacterial small subunit ribosomal RNA
Source: RNAcentral
GACGAACGCUGGCGGCGUGCUUAACACAUGCAAGUCGAACGGAAAGGCCCUGCUUUUGUGGGGUGCUCGAGUGGCGAACGGGUGAGUAACACGUGAGUAACCUGCCCUUGACUUUGGGAUAACUUCAGGAAACUGGGGCUAAUACCGGAUAGGAGCUCCUGCUGCAUGGUGGGGGUUGGAAAGUUUCGGCGGUUGGGGAUGGACUCGCGGCUUAUCAGCUUGUUGGUGGGGUAGUGGCUUACCAAGGCUUUGACGGGUAGCCGGCCUGAGAGGGUUGACGGCGACAAGGGGGCUGGGGACAGGGCGGGCGCGGGGCGGGAGGGAGGAGUGGUGAAUGGUGAGAGAGCGGCGGAGUCCUGAAGCAGCAACGCCGCGUGAGGGAUGACCGGCUGGGGGUUGUAAACCGCUUUCGCCUGUGGCGGAGGGUGAGCGGAGGAAAGGGGUAAAGAAGCACCGAGUACCCACGUGCCAGCAACCGCGAUAAUAGCUCGGAGAACACCUCUGAAC